UACGUAGGUGGCAAGCGUUGUCCGGAUUUAUUGGGCGUAAAGAGAAUGUAGGCGGUUUAUUAAGUUUGAAGUGAAAGCCCUCGGCUCAACCGAGGAAGUGCUUCGAAAACUGGUAAACUUGAGUGCAGAAGAGGAAAGUGGAACUCCAUGUGUAGCGGUGGAAUGCGUAGAUAUAUGGAAGAACACCAGUGGCGAAGGCGGCUUUCUGGUCUGUAACUGACGCUGAGAUUCGAAAGCAUGGGUAGCAAAC
This 250-nucleotide ribosomal RNA is filed under the name uncultured bacterium. RNAcentral describes it as "partial 16S ribosomal RNA". It matches the Rfam family "Bacterial small subunit ribosomal RNA", at positions 524 to 773 of the family's 1533-position model. The record is from RNAcentral.